UUUUUUUUUUUUUUGGAAAAAAAAAAAUUCAAUCUUUAUAUUUGAUCAAUACAAGACUAAAUAAAAAUCCAAUCAGGACCGAGAACCCCCUACAGUCCUAUUCUGGAUCAUAACCAGGUCUACUCAAAGCCAAUGUUACAUAGGUGUGAAGUACAACCAAGACUUUGAAACGUAUGAAAUUUGAUGAUUUCACUGUCCUUUUAAAUUUACAUUUUCUAUAGAGAAUUGCAAAAAAUGAAACUUGCUCUCUGAACUUUACCACAAAAUUUUGCAUAAGCAUAAAGCCUAAGUUAGACAACAGAUUCCAAUAAUCAACAAAAAAUUAGCUCGGUUAUAUCUGCGGCAACCAAAAAGAACCACGAAUUGCAACGAGUAUUAGAUGCAUCAGCUUAUGAAGGCUCUUUGUUCUUGAUGGCUAAAGCUGCUGCUCUGUACCAUGCAGCUGCAGCCAUAGCUCCAGGGUCUGGAACUGAUGCAAGGAUAUCUGUAGAGACAUAGGUAGAGCGGCCAGCCUGUGCCUGCAUGUGUCUGGUUGACUCAGCUCCAGCCAAUGCUGCUUCAGAUGAGAGAACAAAAGCAGUAAAAGGAUCAUCCCCAGCAUUUAACCUCUCCUGAAGGACUGCUGAUGCUGGAAUAAGUGCAUCUAACAAAGUGCGAUAGCCAGCACUAGCCCCAGCCAUACUUACUGACUGCGGCAAUUGAAGCUUCAAGUGCUUCAGCCCAUUGUUUUGACGUCACAGCUGAUUGUGAGUUUGAUUUCAGAUGUGCAUGAGCUGCCUUGCAAAAUAUAUU
Molecule: unclassified non-coding RNA, 792 nt
Filed under: Hevea brasiliensis (rubber tree)
Lineage: Eukaryota; Viridiplantae; Streptophyta; Magnoliopsida; Malpighiales; Euphorbiaceae
Source: RNAcentral